Mustela erminea (ermine) is the source of this 1149-nucleotide long non-coding RNA. RefSeq lists it as uncharacterized. The transcript is spliced from 2 exons. The record is from RefSeq and is a predicted model, not a curated record. NCBI's taxonomy places the organism in Eukaryota, Metazoa, Chordata, Mammalia, Carnivora, Mustelidae.
GCUUACCUUGGCCUGAAAUAUUAAGGGAGGGAGGCCUUGGGACGAGGGGCUGGAGUGCUGCGCGAACACCUGCGCCGGCGGCUGGCCUCCCGCUUCCCGCUCUGCCGCGCGCCAUUCCUAACCCUAGCCCCGGGGUUCCUCCGACGGGAGCCGGUCGUCAGCGUCACCUGCGGGGCGGGCGAGAGCGCGGACGGCUGCGCCCGGCGCCUGGAGCUUCUGCGUCGCCGCGCCGGCUGCGGGGCUCGGGAGUUCACAUUGCUAACGAGUUCCCAGGUCAAGCCGGUGACAACAGGCCGAGAACCACUGUCCUACCCAUCGGGGAUCCCCGCACCUGCCGCCGUCCCGGUGGCUUCUCACCCGGCGUCGUCUCCACGAGGAGAAACUCCGCGUGUGCGGGCGGGCGGGCGGGGGUAGGGUGGGGACGGGCAUUGACUUGGGAGUUUUCUAACCCUGAGUCCACACCUUCCUUCAACUAACGGGUCAACACAGGGGCUGACAGCUUCAUUUUUUAAACGGCAGCGAUCUUUUUGUGAAAUGUCAACGUAAACAACAAAGGGCAGGGCUGAGGGGCUGCCGGGAAGCUGAAGCGCGAAGGCCCCAGAAGCUAAAGCUUCUCCGACGGGCUCUGAGGGGGCGUGGCGGCGGGAAGGGGCGUGGUCGCGGAGGCGGCGUGGCGGCGGGUCUCGGACCCGCGGUGCCCUCGCGGGGUUGCGGGGAGGAGGGUCCGGGCGGGAGGACGUCCGCCCGGGCGCGCUGUAAACAGUUCCGGGCCCUCGAGGGAUCCCCAGGGCCCGUGCUGGUGACCGCGCGUAGAAGUAUGCGGUGCUGGGAAUGGGAGCGCCGCCUGUGAAGCCGCAAAGCCCCGCUUGGUGAAUAUGUAGGAAAUGACGAUCCACUCCUGCGUGGAAGGCCAGCGCUCCAUCUUCACCAACACGAUGUAGUUGAAGAGCAUCAGAUACCCGAUGUACGCCAGCUGCAAGGAAGCACAGAGAAGAGGGGGCGCUUGGGUUCCGAAGACCCAGGAGCCCUGCCCUCGGGACGGAAGGAGCCCACCCCGCAGGACGGAACAAGGUCAGCGAGCAGGACGUAGCAUUCAUGAUGGAAUUAACCUGAAAGCUUUCAACUGUCCAAAGAAUUAAAAAAAAAAAA